This 254-nucleotide ribosomal RNA is filed under the name uncultured bacterium. RNAcentral's name for it is "partial 16S ribosomal RNA". It matches the Rfam family "Bacterial small subunit ribosomal RNA", at positions 524 to 776 of the family's 1533-position model. The record is from RNAcentral.
UACGUAGGGGGCAAGCGUUGUCCGGAUUUAUUGGGCGUAAAGAGCGUGUAGGCGGCCUGGUAAGUCCGCUGUAAAAGUCAAAGGCUCAACCUUUGAAUGUCAGUGGAUACUGCCGGGCUAGAGUCCGGAAGAGGCGAGUGGAACUCCUGGUGUAGCGGUGGAAUGCGCAGAUAUCAGGAAGAACACCAACGGCGAAGGCAGCUCGCUAGGACGGUACUGACGCUGAGACGCGAAAAGCGUGGGGAGCGAACAGG